This 251-nucleotide unclassified non-coding RNA is filed under the name Ascomycota sp. RNAcentral's name for it is "partial contains small subunit ribosomal RNA, internal transcribed spacer 1, and 5.8S ribosomal RNA". The stretch from base 1 to 47 matches the Rfam family "Eukaryotic small subunit ribosomal RNA", at positions 1785 to 1831 of the family's 1831-position model. Lineage: Eukaryota; Fungi; Ascomycota. The record is from RNAcentral.
AAAGUCGUAACAAGGUUUCCGUAGGUGAACCUGCGGAAGGAUCAUUACCGAGUGAGGGCCCCUCUGGGUCCAACCUCCCACCCGUGUUUAACGAACCUUGUUGCUUCGGCGGGCCCGCCAUACGGCCGCCGGGGGGCACCCGCCCCCGGGCCCGCGCCCGCCGAAGACACCUGUGAACGCUGUCUGAAGUUGCAGUCUGAGACAACUAGCUAAAUUAGUUAAAACUUUCAACAACGGAUCUCUUGGUUCCG